GACGAACGCUGGCGGCGUGCCUAAUACAUGCAAGUAGAACGCUGAAGGAGGAGCUUGCUUCUCCGGAUGAGUUGCGAACGGGUGAGUAACGCGUAGGUAACCUGCCUGGUAGCGGGGGAUAACUAUUGGAAACGAUAGCUAAUACCGCAUAAUAGCAGUUAUUGCAUGAUAACUGUUUGAAAGGUGCAAUUGCACCACUACCAGAUGGACCUGCGUUGUAUUAGCUAGUUGGUGGGGUAACGGCUCACCAAGGCGACGAUACAUAGCCGACCUGAGAGGGUGAUCGGCCACACUGGGACUGAGACACGGCCCAGACUCCUACGGGAGGCAGCAGUAGGGAAUCUUCGGCAAUGGACGGAAGUCUGACCGAGCAACGCCGCGUGAGUGAAGAAGGUUUUCGGACCGUAAAGCUCUGUUGUAAGAGAAGAACGAAGUGUGAGAGUGGAAAAG
RNAcentral lists this ribosomal RNA (450 nucleotides) under Streptococcus mitis. RNAcentral describes it as "bacterial SSU rRNA". It matches the Rfam family "Bacterial small subunit ribosomal RNA", at positions 28 to 465 of the family's 1533-position model. The record is from RNAcentral. Lineage: Bacteria; Bacillati; Bacillota; Bacilli; Lactobacillales; Streptococcaceae.